CGUGGAGGAAGAAGAUUUUAUGGAUUGUAAAACUCCUGUCGUUAGGGACGAUAAUGACGGUACCUCACAAGAAAGCACCGCCUAACUACGUGCCAGCAGCCGCGGUAAAAUGUAGGGUGCAAGCGUUGUCCGGAAUUACUGGGUGUAAAGGGAGCGCAGGCGGGAAGACAAAUAGGAAGUGAAAACCAUGGGCUCAACCCAUGAAUUGCUUUCAAAACUGUUUUUCUUGAGUAGUGCAGAGGUAGAUGGAAUUCCCGGUGUAGCGGUGGAAUGCGUAGAUAUCGUGAGGAACACCAGUGGGGAAGGCGGUCUACUGGGCACCAACUGACGCUGAGGCUCGAAAGCAUGGGUAGCAAACAGGAUUAGAUACCCUGGUAGUCCAUCCCGUAAACGAUGAUUACUAGGGUGUUGGGGGAUUGACCCCCUCAGUGCCGCAGUUAACACAAUAAGUAAUCCACCCUGGGGAGUACGCCCGCAAGGUUGAAACUCAAAGGAAUCGACGGGGGCCCGCACAAGCAGUGGAGUAUGUGGUUUAAUUCGAAGCAACGCGAAGAACCUUACCAGGUCUUGACAUCCGAUGCAUAGUGCAGAGAUGCAUGAAGUCCUUCGGGACAUCGAGACAGGUGGUGCAUGGUUGUCGUCAGCUCGUGUCGUGAGAUGUUGGGUUAAGUCCCGCAACGAGCGCAACCCCUAUCCUCAGUAGCCAGCAUUUAAGGUGGGCACUCUGGGGAGACUGCCAGGGAUAACCUGGAGGAAGGCGGGGAUGACGUCAAAUCAUCAUGCCCCUUAUGGCCAGGGCUACACACGUGCUACAAUGGCGUAAACAAAGGGAAGCGAAGUCGUGAGGCGAAGCAAAUCCCAGAAAUAACGUCUCAGUUCGGAUUGUAGUCUGCAACUCGACUACAUGAAGCUGGAAUCGCUAGUAAUCGUGAAUCAGAAUGUCACGGUGAAUACGUUCCCGGGUCUUGCACACACCGCCCGUCA
RNAcentral lists this ribosomal RNA (984 nucleotides) under uncultured bacterium. RNAcentral's name for it is "bacterial SSU rRNA". It matches the Rfam family "Bacterial small subunit ribosomal RNA", at positions 400 to 1399 of the family's 1533-position model. The record is from RNAcentral.